Molecule: ribosomal RNA, 301 nt
Filed under: uncultured bacterium
Lineage: Bacteria
Description: partial 16S ribosomal RNA
Rfam family: Bacterial small subunit ribosomal RNA
Source: RNAcentral
CAGUCGCCACGGUAAUACGGAGGAUCCAAGCGUUAUCCGGAAUUAUUGGGUUUAAAGGGUGCGUAGGCGGCAUGCUAAGUCAGGGGUGAAAGACGGUGGCUCAACCAUCGCAGUGCCUUUGAUACUGGUGUGCUUGGAUGUACAUGAGGUAGGCGGAAUGAGACAAGUAGCGGUGAAAUGCAUAGAUAUGUCUCAGAACACCAAUUGCGAAGGCAGCUUACUAAGGUAUGAUUGACGCUGAUGCACGAAAGCGUGGGGAUCAAACAGGAUUAGAUACCCCAGUAGUCCCUGUCUCUUAUAC